This 902-nucleotide ribosomal RNA is filed under the name uncultured bacterium. RNAcentral's name for it is "bacterial SSU rRNA". It matches the Rfam family "Bacterial small subunit ribosomal RNA", at positions 9 to 926 of the family's 1533-position model. The record is from RNAcentral.
GAGUUUGAUCCUGGCUCAGGAUGAACGCUGGCGGCGUGCCUAAUACAUGCAAGUCGAACGGGAAACCUUAUACUUGUAUAGGGUGGAUAGUGGCGAAUGGGUGAGUAACACGUGGGUGACCUGCCCUGAAGAGGGGGAUAACUGUGGGAAACUGCGGCUAAUACCCCAUAUGCUUACGCUCUUUAGAAAGGUGUAAGUAAAGCUUUUGCGCUUCGGGAGGGGCCUGCGGCCUAUCAGCUAGUUGGUGGGGUAAAAGCCUACCAAGGCGAAGACGGGUAGGGGGCGUGAGAGCGUGACCCCCCACAAUGGAACUGAGAUACGGUCCAUACUCCUACGGGAGGCAGCAGUAAGGGAUAUUGCACAAUGGGCGAAAGCCUGAUGCAGCAACGCCGCGUGAGUGAUGAAGGCCUUCGGGUUGUAAAGCUCUUUUCUGAGGGACGAGCAAGGACGGUACCUCAGGAAUAAGUCCCGGCUAACUACGUGCCAGCAGCCGCGGUAAAACGUAGGGGGCGAGCGUUAUCCGGAUUUACUGGGCGUAAAGCGCGCGCAGGCGGUUUGGUAGGUUGGACGUUAAAGCUCUUGGCUUAACUAAGAGAGGUCGUUCAAAACCACCAGACUUGAGGUCGGUAGAGGGGAGUGGAAUUCCCGGUGUAGUGGUGGAAUGCGCAGAUAUCGGGAGGAACACCUGUGGCGAAAGCGGCUCCCUGGACCGCACCUGACGCUCAUGCGCGAAAGCGUGGGGAGCGAACGGGAUUAGAUACCCCGGUAGUCCACGCUGUAAACGAUGGAUGCUAGGUGUGGGUGGUAUUUACCCAUCUGUGCCGAAGCCAACGCGUUAAGCAUCCCGCCUGGGGACUACGGCCGCAAGGGUAAAACUCAAAGGAAUUGACGGAUCUUUCUAG